GUUAAUGUAGCUUAAUAAUAAAGCAAAGCACUGAAAAUGCUUAGAUGGAUUUACUCAAUCCCAUAAACA
Molecule: transfer RNA, 69 nt
Filed under: Mus caroli (Ryukyu mouse)
Lineage: Eukaryota; Metazoa; Chordata; Mammalia; Rodentia; Muridae
Description: tRNA-Phe
Rfam family: tRNA
About the family: Transfer RNA (tRNA) molecules are approximately 80 nucleotides in length. Their secondary structure includes four short double-helical elements and three loops (D, anti-codon, and T loops).
Source: RNAcentral